Molecule: ribosomal RNA, 435 nt
Filed under: uncultured bacterium
Lineage: Bacteria
Description: partial 16S ribosomal RNA
Rfam family: Bacterial small subunit ribosomal RNA
Source: RNAcentral
GAUGAACGCUGGCGGUAUGCUUAACACAUGCAAGUCGAACGGACUCUUCGGAGUUAGUGGCGGACGGGUGAGUAACGCGUGAGAAUCUGGCUUUGGGUUCGGGACAACCACUGGAAACGGUGGCUAAUACCGGAUGUGCCAAGAGGUAAAAGAGAAAUUGCCUGAAGAUGAGCUCGCGUCUGAUUAGCUAGUUGGUGAGGUAAAGGCUCACCAAGGCAGCGAUCAGUAGCUGGUCUGAGAGGAUGACCAGCCACACUGGGACUGAGACACGGCCCAGACUCCUACGGGAGGCAGCAGUGGGGAAUUUUCCGCAAUGGGCGAAAGCCUGACGGAGCAAUACCGCGUGAGGGAAGAAGGCUCUUGGGUUGUAAACCUCUUUUCUUAGGGAAGAACAAAAUGACGGUACCUAAGGAAUCAGCAUCGGCUAACUCCGUG